CCUACGGGUGGCAGCAGUGAGGAAUAUUGGUCAAUGGCCGGAAGGCUGAACCAGCCAUGCCGCGUGAAGGUCAGUGCCCUAUGGGCGUUAAACUUCUUUUGUGCGGGAGCAAUAAUGGUCACGUGUGGCCAGACGAGAGUACCGUACGAAUAAGCAUCGGCUAACUCCGUGCCAGCAGCCGCGGUAAUACGGGGGAUGCAAGCGUUAUCCGGAUUUAUUGGGUUUAAAGGGUGCGUAGGCUGUGCGGUAAGUCAGCGGUGAAAUGCCCCCGGUCAACGGGGUGAAGUGCCAUUGAUACUGGCUGGCUGGAAUGCGGAUGCCGUGGGAGGAAUGUGUGGUGUAGCGGUGAAAUGCAUAGAUAUCACACAGAACACCGAUUGCGAAGGCAUCUCACGAAGCCGCGAUUGACGCUGAUGCACGAAAGCGUGGGUAUCAAACAGGAUUAGAUACCCUUGUAGUC
This 460-nucleotide ribosomal RNA is filed under the name uncultured bacterium. Its description in RNAcentral is "partial 16S ribosomal RNA". It matches the Rfam family "Bacterial small subunit ribosomal RNA", at positions 338 to 795 of the family's 1533-position model. The record is from RNAcentral.